Molecule: transfer RNA, 83 nt
Filed under: Synechococcaceae cyanobacterium SM2_3_2
Lineage: Bacteria; Bacillati; Cyanobacteriota; Cyanophyceae; Synechococcales; Synechococcaceae
Also listed under: 1 other name
Description: tRNA-Leu
Rfam family: tRNA
About the family: Transfer RNA (tRNA) molecules are approximately 80 nucleotides in length. Their secondary structure includes four short double-helical elements and three loops (D, anti-codon, and T loops).
Source: RNAcentral
GGGGGUAUGGCGGAAUGGUAGACGCUGCGGACUUAAAAUCCGUUGAUCGUGAGAUCGUGCGAGUUCAAGUCUCGCUACCCCCA